This 23-nucleotide unclassified non-coding RNA is filed under the name Dictyostelium discoideum. The record is from RNAcentral. Lineage: Eukaryota; Evosea; Eumycetozoa; Dictyosteliales; Dictyosteliaceae.
UUCGAUCCCAUGUCUAGGCGCCA